AUAAACCCCACCUUUAUUACUUUUAUAAGUAACUCAGAACAGCGAACAUAUACCCCUCGGCAAGUAAUAUUAAAGUUACUCCAAAUUCGAAGGAAAUCUUCACAAGGAAUAAGAAGCUGAAGUUACUGCAUUCAUCAAUCGUUUCAGGAUUCUUGUAGCUUUCCAAUACGUUGCAACGACUUCUUCGCACAUCAAUCCCACAUCCGGCAAAAUUGGAUAUUACGGCAGGAACAGAAUAUCAGAAUAGGAUCGGAAUAACAGAGCUGGAAGGGACCUUGGAGGUCUUCUAGUCCAGCCCCUUGCUUGAGCAGGAGACUCUAUAUACCAUUCCGGACAAAAGGCUGCCCAAUGAAUGUCUUUUUGAAAACUAUCAGCGGAGGCUACGCAGCCUUUUCGCCUCUCCUACUUUAAACGUUGUAUCGUCCAACCUGGAAUCCAAACUGCGCAGCCGUUUGGCUGGACGUUCAAAAUUUGACUAAACCUUCGAAAAUUAUUGAUAGUCCCUUCAAUCGCAGAAACGGUAUUGCUUGGUUUCUAGCAACGCCUACUAUGGUUAAGGAAGUACAGUGGAAAAUCACAGCGAAAAGCAGAUUCGACCGUUUCUAGGAGCCGGCACUGCUAUUGUUCCGUCGCCAAUAAGAUAAACCGCAAUGCUGGUUGGGAGAAAAAGGGGGGUAAUUUCCUUAGCAACCUGUUGUACUGUAGGUGUAGCUAAGCUUGGAAGAAUCCGAUCUCUGCCCGUGGUCUGCGUGCUUCUCUGGUGGUUCGUGUCCUGAAAAAUGGUAUGGUUUGAAACGGAAUUUAAAUCGCCAGGAGAAGGUGAUUGGCAGGCAGGUUUUCAGGUCUUAAAAGGAGGAAUUAACGUCAAGAUUACUGAUAUGCUGAGGAAACCUGCUUGCCACAUUUUAGCAGAGGAAUUGUGAUAUCUAAAUGUCUAUAGUGUUACGAAGAAUUGGCUGAGUUCUGUUGUUUUCCCUCUAUCCUCCAGGAGAAUGCCAGGACUCAGGCUGGUCCCGCCGCCGUUGUACCCUCUUACAACAGUGACUACGAAAGAGAGUACGACCCAAUGAAAUAUCUGACGGAGGGCUGCCACUGAGACUGCCCACCAUAUCAGAAUAUAAGUAAACGUAGUUACCUGAAACAACAAAUUGAGAAUGACUGUAACUGCCUGUAUGUGGUGGACCCGAUGCCAGUGCCAAGUCAUAAUGUUGAGGAGUAUUGCCGGCUAUGUGAUUGCAAGUCUGUGGAAAGUAGUAACACUGCCAUUAUGAUCAUCCUCAUCGUUUUCCUCUUAGUAUUUGUAAUUAUUUUACUCUUCAACAUAGUUUUAAUGAUAGUUAAGCACCUCAGCCAUAAACCUGAUGCCUAUACUAUUUCCCUGCACAAUGAAGAAGAGUCAGAGGUGACUUUGAUGCUCUUUAAACAGGUUUUGUUUUCAUUUAGACUGUCUGAAUCUGAUGACUUCCAUAUGUUUGGUCCCAUACUCCCUCAUUCAAUUGAUUGUGGGAAUUAAAAGUUAAUACAUUUGAAAAACCUCAGAACCUUGUAGAAGGUUCAUAUUGGAAGUGAUCAGGCUAUUAAAUGUAUGUGUUCAGUAAAGUGAAUGGUAUUUAGAAAUCUGCAUGUAUACUUAUUCACAUAAAGUUUUCUGUGUGCACAGAAUCCUUCCCACCCAAAGAGGACACUUGUUCAGUAUGCAGUCCUUUCCCUUUAGAUACCCUUCAACCCAAUGCAGGCAUACAUUCAUCCUUUCCAGACAACAUAAUGUCUUAGAAGGAUAUAAGAUAUGCCUUAAAAUCUAUUUCUAUGGUUUAAAAUCUAUUUUCAAGCUGAAACACUGCAGAUAAGUUGGGACUGCAGCUUUCUGAAGUUUGGAGGUGACUAGGUUAGAGAAGACAGCUUUAAACAAUUAGUGAUAUAAGGGAAUGUAGGAUUUAAUUCUAGAUUUUGGACACACGCACACAUUAAAUAUGAGCACAUUUUGCUUGUUUUCAUAGACAGUAACCAUUCUUAAUAAUCUGACUAAUGUUGCAGUACCGGUAUUACCACUACUUGAAGAUGUUUUCUGUUAAUGAUCAGUAACGUAGUUUAAUCUUGGUAUUCAUAGUUUGCAUAUGCUUAUAUUUGUCCAUUCUGUUUUAAGAAUACAUUGAUAUGUCUCUGGGUGGACUCAAGGUGGAGCAUUAUUAUUAUGCAUGUAAAAUGCUUUUUUGUGUGAUGUUUCUUCUUCUAUUACUGCAGGAUCCCUGCAUUUGAUCUCUUCCCCAAUCCACCCAACAGAAUAUGCUGCAUUUGAAGCAAGGUACUGGUUCCACUGCAUAUUCCAUAGAUGAGGACUGCCGCUUGUUUUUUUUCUUACAUUUUUCCAACUUCACUGAUUUUUUUAAAUCUUUUUUUAGAUGAUCAUGACCUUUUUGCUGUUCUUAAAUACCCUCACAAGUUCAGGUCAUUUUGAACUUACCGGUAUAUAUUCUUCCCUGAAAACUUGUUCUCAUCUUAAGUAUUUACCUUCCCUUCUCCAUCUCUACGAUUAAAUGGCACAUUAUUGUAAAUCAAUAUAUAGAUAUAUUAAAGUUCUGUACAAAUUCCUCCAAAGCA
Long non-coding RNA from Protobothrops mucrosquamatus (brown spotted pit viper), 2598 nucleotides. RefSeq lists it as uncharacterized. Lineage: Eukaryota; Metazoa; Chordata; Lepidosauria; Squamata; Viperidae. The transcript has 6 exons. The record is from RefSeq and is a predicted model, not a curated record.